Molecule: ribosomal RNA, 1005 nt
Filed under: Pseudomonas sp. YSA5_1H4
Lineage: Bacteria; Pseudomonadati; Pseudomonadota; Gammaproteobacteria; Pseudomonadales; Pseudomonadaceae
Description: bacterial SSU rRNA
Rfam family: Bacterial small subunit ribosomal RNA
Source: RNAcentral
GCAGUCGAGCGGAGAGAAGAGCUUGCUCUUCGAUUCAGCGGCGGACGGGUGAGUAAUACCUAGGAAUCUGCCUGGUAGUGGGGGACAACGUUUCGAAAGGAACGCUAAUACCGCAUACGUCCUACGGGAGAAAGCAGGGGACCUUCGGGCCUUGCGCUAUCAGAUGAGCCUAGGUCGGAUUAGCUAGUUGGUGAGGUAAUGGCUCACCAAGGCGACGAUCCGUAACUGGUCUGAGAGGAUGAUCAGUCACACUGGAACUGAGACACGGUCCAGACUCCUACGGGAGGCAGCAGUGGGGAAUAUUGGACAAUGGGCGAAAGCCUGAUCCAGCCAUGCCGCGUGUGUGAAGAAGGUCUUCGGAUUGUAAAGCACUUUAAGUUGGGAGGAAGGGUACUUACCUAAUACGUGAGUAUUUUGACGUUACCGACAGAAUAAGCACCGGCUAACUCUGUGCCAGCAGCCGCGGUAAUACAGAGGGUGCAAGCGUUAAUCGGAAUUACUGGGCGUAAAGCGCGCGUAGGUGGUUCGUUAAGUUGGAUGUGAAAUCCCCGGGCUCAACCUGGGAACUGCAUCCAAAACUGGCGAGCUAGAGUAGGGCAGAGGGUGGUGGAAUUUCCUGUGUAGCGGUGAAAUGCGUAGAUAUAGGAAGGAACACCAGUGGCGAAGCGACCACCUGGGCUCAUACUGACACUGAGGUGCGAAAGCGUGGGGAGCAAACAGGAUUAGAUACCCUGGUAGUCCACGCCGUAAACGAUGUCAACUAGCCGUUGGAAUCCUUGAGAUUUUAGUGGCGCAGCUACGCAUUAGUUGACGCCUGGGGAGUACGGCGCAAGGUAAAACUCAAAUGAAUUGACGGGGGCCCGCACAAGCGGGGAGCAUGUGGUUUAAUUCGAACAACGCGAAAAUUACCCUUGACUGCAGAAACUUUCAGAUGGAUUGGCUCGGAUCUGACCCUGCAUGGUUCGCAGCUCGGCGAGAGGUAGUCCUACAGCCCCUGGGUCUGUC